This 826-nucleotide ribosomal RNA is filed under the name Nephromopsis ornata. RNAcentral describes it as "SSU rRNA". It matches the Rfam family "Bacterial small subunit ribosomal RNA", at positions 225 to 1128 of the family's 1533-position model. The record is from RNAcentral. Lineage: Eukaryota; Fungi; Ascomycota; Lecanoromycetes; Lecanorales; Parmeliaceae.
AAGUUUGUAUCUCGUGUGUGGUAGUAGUUAGGAUUUAAAGCCUAACUAGCUAUAUGCACGUAGUCGUAACUGAAAGGUUGAUCGACCACAGUGGGCCUGAAUAAAGCCCAUGACGAUUGUCACAGCAGUGAGGAAUAUUGGUCAAUAGCCUAACGGCUGAACCAGCAACUUGGAGGAAUGAUGAUAAUGACAUUGUCUGCCUAUGUGUCUUGACCAAAUUACGUGCCAGCAGUCGCGGUAAUACGUAGAAGACUAGUGUUAUUCAUGUUUAAUCGGUUUAAAGGGUACCUAGACGGUAAAUCAAGCCUAAAAGGAAAUAAAUGAAGGGACUAAUUUACUAGAGUUACUUAUGAGGGGGUAUUAAAGUACUGCUGGUGUAGAGAUGAAAUUCUGUCAUACCUCUUUUCAAUAGAAAAAUAAUGGCACAGGUAUAGGCGAAAGCAUCCCCUUAUGUGAUAACUGACGUUGAGGGACGAAGGCUUUGUGUAGCGAACAGGAUUAGAUACCCCAGUAGUCAAAGCAGAAAAUGAUGAAUGUCAUAGAUUAGAUACAUAAGUUUAUUCUAUAAAUGAAAGUGUAAGCAUUCCACCUCAAGAGUAAUUUGGCAACAUUGGAACUGAAAUCAUUAGACCGAAUAUUUAUAUCUUUUAUUGUUUUUCUUUUUAACUUUCUUCUGAUUUUCUACUUAAAAGAAAACAAUAACAAGAAAAAAGAGGCAAUAAGAUAUAUUUACAAGCGUUGCACGGCUGUCUUCAGUUAAUGUCGCGAGACUCUGGUUAGUUCCAUUAAAUUAACGUAAACCCUUACUUUAUUUUUAUAUAGAGUA